AGCAGAACUGUGCUCUUACCCUGCUAAUUGAACCUUCACACUCUGCUCUUACUGGUGCAAUGUGCAAUUAAUGAAGAUUGAACACCAGGCUGCUCCAAUUUAGCCAUGAAACCUAAAAUCCCACACUAAAAUGAUGACAGGUGUUUCAGUUUCAUUGUCCAACCCCUGUAGGUGAUGUAUUCUUAUAUGAUGUUAAAACCAGGGAAAAGCUAAGGCUAAGGCAUACGCAGGAAUAGUAGUAGGAGUGUAGAGAAGAAUAAAAGUGUGGUUUGAUUGAUGAAAUGAUUGAUAAAAAGGAGUGACUUGUAAUGUUCAGGCUGUCAGGAACAUUAUUAAAAUGCAAGUGGCAGAUGUAAAUAUGGAUGAACCUAUUUAUAAGAUGUACAAUAUAUUUAUUUUCUACAUAUAAAGUAUAAUUCUAAAUCUCUCUAUAUAUAUAAAUAUAUUUAUUUAUUGCAAAGUCUUUAUUUUGUAAUGAACUUGAAAUUAUAAGAACUGUAAAUUCUACUGAAAUUACACAAAAAAAGGGCCAACAUCAAUUUGACCUGAAUGGAUGACAAUAAAAUUGUCCUGCUAUAUUA
Molecule: long non-coding RNA, 581 nt
Organism: Astyanax mexicanus (Mexican tetra)
Lineage: Eukaryota; Metazoa; Chordata; Actinopteri; Characiformes; Acestrorhamphidae
Exons: 2
Source: RefSeq, a predicted model, not a curated record